This 68-nucleotide transfer RNA is filed under the name Marmota monax (woodchuck). RNAcentral's name for it is "tRNA.Ala". Lineage: Eukaryota; Metazoa; Chordata; Mammalia; Rodentia; Sciuridae. The record is from RNAcentral.
GUUCUAGCUCAGUGGUAGAGCACUUGCCUAGCAUGUGUGAGGUACUGGAUUCGAUCCUCAGCACUACA